CGCUUCCGUAACCGAGAGACGAUCCAAUCUAGCAGUUUCCCUCUUCCAUGGUGAAACGCCUCCCCAUCCAUAAAAACGCACCACUAGCCGCAUCUGGUCACCGCAUGCAUCAUUAUCCUCCAUCCCUCCAUCCCGAUCUCUCCCGUCUUUCUCUGCUCAAGCCAUUGAUUGCCUCAUGGUGCGCCACGCCUCUGCCCUCAUCUAGUCAUCUCCUUCUGUUGCGCCUUGCUGUUACGUUGGUUACCCACGACCUACCGACGCGCCGAGUCGUCGACUUGCCAUUGCGGAGAAGCUGCGUCCUGGCCAUCUGCCCUGCACGAUUCAAAUCCUGGGAGAGCGGCCCCGCCCUGUCUAGAGAGGUCGCCGGUGGUGCUAUCUUCUCGCAUUGCCGGCGUGGAAGGUGGGAGUGGCCAGAUUUGGACUUCUCUUUUUGCAAUUAAGCAGAUUGACUGAUUAUAAGCAUUACGUCCUACGUGGUGGUGCAGUCCAACUCUGAACACUUUUUUACUUUUUAUUUUCUUACUGAAGGUUAAUUCCCACACACGCUACAAUCUGAAGAUCACCAAAACUGACUAUUCUGGAUUUGAUAUAUUUUCGUACUGAAGACAUUCCACAAAGCGAUUUUUAUGUAUUAAAUAUUCGACGUUACUUCAACAUGUAUGGAUAUUUGGCGUUACUUCAACAUGUACGCAUACUGCUACGGACUCUAUUCAGGGUUACCUACUAUGAGGAAAAUGGAGCAAGGAUGGAUCAAAGUAAAUGUACUUGGAAGUUCUGAUGGAAAUUACACAUAGUCAAGACCUGGGUUAUAGUUUUGUGGUGAUGUUUUAGCUGUAUCUUUGAAGUUUUUUCCCUUGCAGAAGAAGCGGAGGUGGUAGCCUAUAUAUUGGAGCUUUAAAUCAGUUGGUUCCACAUGAAAAUGACCAUAUAAUCAUUUAUUCUGAUUGUGUUUGCUUUCCAAAAUUUGGAUGAUAAAGUAGGAGGAUAGAUCUUACUUACCCGUGUACCAUUAUAGCCAUGCAUC
This is a long non-coding RNA of Triticum aestivum (bread wheat), 1024 nucleotides long. RefSeq lists it as uncharacterized. The record is from RefSeq and is a predicted model, not a curated record. The transcript is spliced from 5 exons. Lineage: Eukaryota; Viridiplantae; Streptophyta; Magnoliopsida; Poales; Poaceae.